GAUGAACGCUGGCGGCGUGCUUAACACAUGCAAGUCGAACGAUGAAGCCCAGCUUGCUGGGUGGAUUAGUGGCGAACGGGUGAGUAACACGUGAGUAACCUGCCCUUGACUCUGGGAUAAGCCUGGGAAACUGGGUCUAAUACUGGAUAUGACUUCUCAUCGCAUGGUGGGGGGUGGAAAGAUUUAUUGGUCUUGGAUGGACUCGCGGCCUAUCAGCUUGUUGGUGAGGUAAUGGCUCACCAAGGCGACGACGGGUAGCCGGCCUGAGAGGGUGACCGGCCACACUGGGACUGAGACACGGCCCAGACUCCUACGGGAGGCAGCAGUGGGGAAUAUUGCACAAUGGGCGCAAGCCUGAUGCAGCGACGCCGCGUGAGGGAUGACGGCCUUCGGGUUGUAAACCGCUUUCAGUAGGGAAGAAGCGAGAGUGACGGUACCUGCAGAAGAAGCGCCGGCUAACUACGUG
Molecule: ribosomal RNA, 466 nt
Filed under: uncultured bacterium
Lineage: Bacteria
Description: partial 16S ribosomal RNA
Rfam family: Bacterial small subunit ribosomal RNA
Source: RNAcentral